This 1379-nucleotide long non-coding RNA is filed under the name Homo sapiens (human). Its description in RNAcentral is "HSALNT0107664". The record is from RNAcentral. Lineage: Eukaryota; Metazoa; Chordata; Mammalia; Primates; Hominidae.
UUGACAUUUACUGAACUUUAAAAAUCUGGUUUAUAUCUUUUGACAAAUUUGAUAUAUUUUCAGCCAUUAAUUCUUCACAGUUUUAUCCCACAAAGACCUCUUUGUCCUCUUACAAUAAUGUGAAUGUUUCCAGAUUACAAUAAUGUGAAUGUUAGAUUUGUUAUUUUUUAUUUGUCCCUGAGCCUCUGUUCAGGGACAAUAAAAUCCUCCUUUCUUUCUAUAGGUCAGAUUAUGUAGGUAUUCUUGUUCUGUUUUCAAGUUCAUUGACUCUUUCCUUAGUCUUUUGCAUACUGCUAUUGAGAUCAUCCAAUUAAGCAUUUUAUUUCCCCUAAUAGUUUUGGUUAAUACUUUUUUUAAUUCUUAAGUUUAAAUUGGUGUUUACAUAUUCCAAAUAUUUGGUGAGACUUUCCAACUUUCCAUUCACUUCAUGAAUGCUAUCCCGUAAUUCUAGGAGCAUUGUUAUAAUAACUGCUUUAAUGUAUGUGUCAGAUGAUUUUGACAUAUGUGUCCUCUCAAUAUUGUUAUUCAAGGAUUCUCUUUGCCAUGUGAGUUAAGAUCUCCCUGGUUUUUCAUAAUGCUGAAUAUUUUGGGGCUUGUAACCUGGACUUCUUUGGAUUAUGUGAUGAGACACUGUGUCUUGUUGAAAUCUUAAGGAUAAUAUUGAUAUUUUUGUUUUUGCAGGCACACAGUUGCCUUGUAUUUAAGCUCCAAGUACCAACCAGACUUCCAUGUGUUGUCGUUUCACAGAUAACUCUAUUUGAAAGCCUUGACACUGCGGUUGAGAGAUCUCUGGAGUGUGUGCAACCAGUGGUCAGUGAGGACUGGAAAGUGGACCAUUGUUCAGUUCAGUCCUCAGGCUCUUUUUAGGUACACAAUUGCCUUGUAUUUAAGCUCCAAGUAUCAACCAGACUUCCAUGUGUUGUCGUUUCGAAGAUAACUCUAUUUGAAAGGCUUGACACUGCUGUUCAGAGAUCUCCAAAGUGUGUGCAACCCAGUGGUCAGUGAGGACUGGAAAGUGGGCCAUUGCACAGUUCAGCUCUCAGGCUCUUUUUAGGGCAAGGCACAGUGGCUACUCAUUCUCUGCAAAGAAGGAGGAAAAAAGGGAAGAAGGAGAAAGUCACAAAGGGAAAACUCACGCUGCCAAAAUGUCAAGUUUAGGGUAUUCCGGGACAGAAAAAGACACGUCCCAGCAAAGAAGACCUACCUAGACCUGCCCAGCUAAAGUGUCACUGAUUUUUAAAAAAUAAUUAAUUAAAAAUGAUUAAAUGAUUGUGUGUGUGUUGCAUGUGUGUGUGUGUGUGUUUAUAAAAGUGGGAUGGCAUUAUCACUUGUUCCUUGUAGCUGAGACUCUGGGGGUUGUGAGAUGGUCCAGAUUUCUG